This 423-nucleotide unclassified non-coding RNA is filed under the name uncultured Trechisporales. RNAcentral describes it as "sequence contains ITS2". The stretch from base 1 to 154 matches the Rfam family "5.8S ribosomal RNA". Lineage: Eukaryota; Fungi; Basidiomycota; Agaricomycetes; Trechisporales. The record is from RNAcentral.
AACUUUUAACAACGGAUCACUUGGCUCUCGCAUCGAUGAAGAACGCAGCGAAAUGCGAUAAGUAAUGUGAAUUGCAGAAUUCAGUGAAUCAUCGUAUCUUUGAACGCACCUUGCGCCCUCUGGUAUUCCGGAGGGCAUGCCUGUUUGAGUGUCUUGAUAUCAUCAAACCCCUCGGGUUCGCGCCCGUUGCGGUUUGGAGUUGGGGGCUUGCUGCCGUGAGGCGGCUCCCCUUAUAAUCAUCGGUUUGGCCCGCACCAUGCGGCUAGCACCUUUGGCGUUGUAUUCUCCUCGCCUUCGAUCGCUCUUGCUCGCUUCCGCGCCUCACCUCGACUUGCCCUUUGGGUGGCGGUCACUUCUUGACAAUCUGGCCUCAAAUCAGGUAGGACUACCCGCUGAACCUAAGCAUAUCAAUACGCGGAGGCU